UACGGAGGGGGCUAGCGUCGUUCGGAAUUACUGGGCGUAAAGCGCACGUAGGCGGCUUUGUAAGUCAGGGGUGAAAGCCUGGAGCUCAACUCCAGAACUGCCUUUGAGACUGCAUCGCUUGAAUCCGGGAGAGGUAAGUGGAAUUCCGAGUGUAGAGGUGAGAUUCGUAGAUAUUCGGAAGAACACCAGUGGCGAAGGCGGCUUACUGGACCGGGAUUGACGCUGAGGUGCGAAAGCGUGGGGAGCAAACAGG
This 253-nucleotide ribosomal RNA is filed under the name uncultured bacterium. RNAcentral's name for it is "partial 16S ribosomal RNA". It matches the Rfam family "Bacterial small subunit ribosomal RNA", at positions 524 to 776 of the family's 1533-position model. The record is from RNAcentral.